This 96-nucleotide long non-coding RNA is filed under the name Callithrix jacchus (white-tufted-ear marmoset). RNAcentral's name for it is "lncRNA (ENSCJAG00000072147.1)". Lineage: Eukaryota; Metazoa; Chordata; Mammalia; Primates; Cebidae. The record is from RNAcentral.
AUCUCUCAGCAAGAUUGUAGCAAAAAGUACUGGAGGACACACACAGCAGAACAGCCCUCCGUUUACUACUUCAGAAGUAGCUGAAACUAAGAUACC